GCCCUUGUAGCUCAGUAGGUAGAGCAACUUCGCCUAGGGCGUUGUAUGUCGCCGGUUCGAGCCCGGCCAAGGGCU
This 75-nucleotide transfer RNA is filed under the name Flavonifractor plautii. RNAcentral describes it as "tRNA-Pro". It matches the Rfam family "tRNA". From Rfam's summary of the family: Transfer RNA (tRNA) molecules are approximately 80 nucleotides in length. The record is from RNAcentral. Lineage: Bacteria; Bacillati; Bacillota; Clostridia; Eubacteriales; Oscillospiraceae.